AGUGAACGCUGGCGGUAGGCCUAACACAUGCAAGUCGAACGGCAGCACCGUAAGAGCUUGCUCUUACGGGUGGCGAGUGGCGGACGGGUGAGGAAUACAUCGGAAUCUACUUUUUCGUGGGGGCUAACGUAGGGAAACUUACGCUAAUACCGCAUACGACCUACGGGUGAAAGCAGGGGAUCUUCGGACCUUGCGCGAUUGAAUGAGCCGAUGUCGGAUUAGCUAGUUGGCGGGGUAAAGGCCCACCAAGGCGACGAUCCGUAGCUGGUAUGAGAGGAUGAUCAGCAAACCUGGGGUGGAGACGCGGGGGGGAAUUAGAGGGGAGGGGGCAGUGGGGAAUACCGGAAACCGGGGGAGAGAAAGAAGCCGCUAGGGUUGGUAAGCCAUUUUGGGGGGAAAGAAAAAAAGCUGGUUAAUACCCGAUGAUACUGACGGUACCGAAAGAAUAAGCACCGGCUAACUCCGU
This 466-nucleotide ribosomal RNA is filed under the name uncultured bacterium. Its description in RNAcentral is "partial 16S ribosomal RNA". It matches the Rfam family "Bacterial small subunit ribosomal RNA", at positions 30 to 506 of the family's 1533-position model. The record is from RNAcentral.